CCUACGGGAGGCAGCAGUGGGGAAUAUUGGGCAAUGGGCGCAACCCUGACCCAGCAACGCCGCGUGAAGGAAGAAGGCUUUCGGGUUGUAAACUUCUUUUAAGAGGGAAGAGCGGAAGACGGUACCUCUUGAAUAAGCCAUGGCUAACUCCGGCCCAGCAGCCGCCGCAAUACGGAGGUGGCAAGCGUUGUCCGGAUUUACUGGGGGUAAAGGGCGUGCAGCCGGGAAGACAAGGCAGAGGUGAAAUGCCGGGGCUCAACCGCGGAACUGCAUUUGAAACUGUUUUUCUUGAGUGCCGGAGAGGGCAGCGGAAUUCCUUGUGUAGCGGUGAAAUGCGUAGAUAUAAGGAAGAACACCAGUGGCGAAGGCGGAUGACUGGACGGCAACUGACGGUGAGGCGCGAAAGCGUGGGGAGCAAACAGGAUUAGAUACCCCUGUAGUC
RNAcentral lists this ribosomal RNA (442 nucleotides) under uncultured bacterium. Its description in RNAcentral is "partial 16S ribosomal RNA". It matches the Rfam family "Bacterial small subunit ribosomal RNA", at positions 338 to 795 of the family's 1533-position model. The record is from RNAcentral.